CGUAAAGCAACCUGCCCGGAAGUUGGGGACAACAGCGCGAAAGUGCUGCUAAUACCGAAUGUGGAUGAUUGACGGCAUCGUUGAUUAUCUAAAGCUUAAUGCGCUUCUGGAUGGGCUUGCGGCCUAUCAGUUAGUUGGUGGGGUAAUGGCCUACCAAGACGUUGACGGGUAGCUGGUCUGAGAGGACGGCCAGCCGGAUUGGGACUGAGAUACGGCCCAG
Molecule: ribosomal RNA, 220 nt
Filed under: uncultured bacterium
Lineage: Bacteria
Description: partial 16S ribosomal RNA
Rfam family: Bacterial small subunit ribosomal RNA
Source: RNAcentral